Molecule: ribosomal RNA, 468 nt
Filed under: uncultured bacterium
Lineage: Bacteria
Description: partial 16S ribosomal RNA
Rfam family: Bacterial small subunit ribosomal RNA
Source: RNAcentral
GACGAACGCUGGCGGCGUGCUUAACACAUGCAAGUCGAACGGAAAGGCCCUGCUUUUGUGGGGUGCUCGAGUGGCGAACGGGUGGGUAACACGUGAGUAACCUGCCCUUGACUUUGGGAUAACUUCAGGAAACUGGGGCUAAUACCGGAUAGGAGCUCCUGCUGCAUGGUGGGGGUUGGAAAGUUUCGGCGGUUGGGGAUGGACUCGCGGCUUAUCAGCUUGUUGGUGGGGUAGUGGCUUACCAAGGCUUUGACGGGUAGCCGGCCUGAGAGGGUGACCGGCCACAUUGGGACUGAGAUACGGCCCAGACUCCAACGGGAGGCAGCAGUGGGGAAUAUUGCAGAAUGGGCGGAAGCCUGAUGCAGCAACGCCGCGUGCGGGAUGACGGCCUUCGGGUUGUAAACCGCUUUCGCCUGUGACGAAGCGUGAGUGACGGUAAUGGGUAAAGAAGCACCGGCUAACUACGUG